GUCGAACGAACCUUCGGGUUAGUGGCGGACGGGUGAGUAACGCGUGGGAAUCUGCCCUCAGGAGGGGGAUAACGGUUGGAAACGACCGCUAAUACCCCAUAUGCCGAUAGGUGAAAUGAAUUUCGCCUGAGGAUGAGCCCGCGUCUGAUUAGCUAGUUGGUAAGGUAAAGGCUUACCAAGGCUUCGAUCAGUAGCUGGUCUGAGAGGAUGAUCAGCCACACUGGGACUGAGACACGGCCCAGACUCCUACGGGAGGCAGCAGUGGGGAAUUUUCCGCAAUGGGCGAAAGCCUGACGGAGCAACGCCGCGUGAGGGACGAAGGCCUCUGGGCUGUAAACCUCUUUUCUCAAGGAAGAAGAUAUGACGGUACUUGAGGAAUAAGCCACGGCUAAUUCCGUGCCAGCAGCCGCGGUAAUACGGGAGUGGCAAGCGUUAUCCGGAAUUAUUGGGCGUAAAGCGUCCGCAGGCGGCCUUUCAAGUCUGCUGUUAAAGCGUGGAGCUUAACUCCAUUAUGGCAGUGGAAACUGAUAGGCUUGAGUAUGGUAGGGGCAGAGGGAAUUCCCGGUGUAGCGGUGAAAUGC
Molecule: ribosomal RNA, 581 nt
Filed under: uncultured Prochlorococcus sp.
Lineage: Bacteria; Bacillati; Cyanobacteriota; Cyanophyceae; Synechococcales; Prochlorococcaceae
Description: bacterial SSU rRNA
Rfam family: Bacterial small subunit ribosomal RNA
Source: RNAcentral